CUACGGGUGGCAGCAGUGGGGAAUAUUGGACAAUGGGCGAAAGCCUGAUCCAGCCAUGCCGCGUGGAUGAAGAAGGCCCUAGGGUUGUAAAGUCCUUUCGGUGGUGAAGAUAAUGACGGUAACCACAGAAGAAGCCCCGGCUAAUUUCGUGCCAGCAGCCGCGGUAAUACGAAAGGGGCUAGCGUUGUUCGGAAUUACUGGGCGUAAAGCGCACGUAGGCGGCCUUGUAAGUUGGGGGUGAAAUCCCGGAGCUCAACUCCGGAACUGCCUUCAAAACUACAAAGCUAGAGGAUGUGAGAGGAUAGUGGAAUUCCGAGUGUAGAGGUGAAAUUCGUAGAUAUUCGGAAGAACACCGGUGGCGAAGGCGACUGUCUGGCACAUUUCUGACGCUGAGGUGCGAAAGCGUGGGGAGCAAACAGGAUUAGAUACCCGUGUAGUC
RNAcentral lists this ribosomal RNA (439 nucleotides) under uncultured bacterium. RNAcentral describes it as "partial 16S ribosomal RNA". It matches the Rfam family "Bacterial small subunit ribosomal RNA", at positions 339 to 795 of the family's 1533-position model. The record is from RNAcentral.